AACGAACGCUGGCGGCAUGCCUAACACAUGCAAGUCGAACGAGACCUUCGGGUCUAGUGGCGCACGGGUGCGUAACGCGUGGGAACCUGCCCUUAGGUUCGGAAUAACUCCCCGACAGGGGUGCUAAUACCGGAUAAUGUCUUCGGACCAAAGAUUUAUCGCCUUUGGAUGGGCCCGCGUUGGAUUAGCUAGUUGGUAGGGUAAAAGCCUACCAAGGCGACGAUCCAUAGCUGGUCUGAGAGGAUGAUCAGCCACACUGGGACUGAGACACGGCCCAGACUCCUACGGGAGGCAGCAGUGGGGAAUAGUGGACAAUGGGCGAAAGCCUGAUCCAGCAAGGCCGCGUGAGUGAUGAAGGCCGUAGGGUUGUAAAGCUCUUUUACCCGGGAUGAUAAUGACAGUACCGGGAGAAUAAGCCCCGGCUAACUCCGUG
RNAcentral lists this ribosomal RNA (433 nucleotides) under uncultured bacterium. Its description in RNAcentral is "partial 16S ribosomal RNA". It matches the Rfam family "Bacterial small subunit ribosomal RNA", at positions 29 to 507 of the family's 1533-position model. The record is from RNAcentral.